This is a long non-coding RNA of Lagopus leucura (white-tailed ptarmigan), 742 nucleotides long. RefSeq lists it as uncharacterized. The transcript has 5 exons. The record is from RefSeq and is a predicted model, not a curated record. NCBI's taxonomy places the organism in Eukaryota, Metazoa, Chordata, Aves, Galliformes, Phasianidae.
AUCUGAUUCAUUAAUUGGAAAAUGUGUAUAGUGGAAGAAGAAGACCUCACCUGUGAAUGUCAAUGUUGCCAACAAGUUCUGUUCCUUUUCUGCUUUGUGAGGAAGUGUCAACAGACCAGAAUUUAAAAGGUGACAAACUGUGAAGAAUUAAAACUUCCAAUUUAACAGAUGAGCAACUGCAAAUAAGAGAAUCUCAGACAAACACUAUUUUAAUGAAAGGUGACAUGCCAGAGAUAAGACAGUUUUUUCCUCUCUCUUCAUCAGGAGUGAACUCAGUUGUGCAGUUGGACUGUGUUGGUAGGCACACCUUGUGGCACUGCAAAGAAGGCACCCUGCCAUGUAUAUCUGUCCUACCUCGAGGCCACUCAGACUCUUACAGAGAGACCAGGACUUGAGAAGACAGGACCAUGCUAAUACAGCGCUUUACAACUGUUAUGCAGCUGGAAAACAUCUGGCACUACGCAGAGCAUGAAUGUGAGCUCCCAACCCCACCAGCCAGUCACACCAGCAUAUCUAGAGUGGUGUACCACUGCUGCUUCAGCUGCCCAUCCUUCUGCCAGUGACUGGAUGGAUGACUCGAGUCCCAGAAUCUUCUCAAAAAUAUGAGAAGAAUCAUGUGUUUUGAUACUUCCAAAGCUAAAAAGGCAAGACCUGCAGCUCGACCACAUACCCUGGAUAGAUUGAUGUCAACCCCAAGUUCUGUUGGUGUAUGUCCAUCUGCCUUCCAGAAGCUCAGUGGCUC